GGGAGUCAGUCCCUAAUUUAAAGGUUUCCUUUUUCACUUUCUAGAUAUGUACUUUUGAGGGAUAUCUGAGGUUAGGCAACAUUACAGCACCAAAUACUGGGGUUAUUAAUCCCGUUUAGGUCUGUACUACAGAGGUCAGGUAGAAACACAUAUGUAUAUAACUUUUCUUUACCUAGAAGUGCCAUCCAUUGACCUUGAAGAAUACAAUUAAAGUUCCUGUUGCAUUUAACUGGGAGGACCCCUUGAAGGACAAUCACACUCCAUUGUUGGAACACUGUGCCAGUAAGAAGUGCAACAUCAAUGGCAGAUGAAAAUGAUGCAUGAGGUGUUCUGUGUUUACAGAUAAAACUGCUGUGGCUCAAGUACGUCCUUCCCUAUCAAAAGCUUGGUGAGCUGGUAAGAAAAUGAUCUAAAUUUUUUAAACAAUUUGUUCACUCAGCAUUCUCACCUAAGCAAGGCCAUAAAAGGGGAUACUGUAAGUUUUGUUCACACCUUAAUUUCAAAUGAUUUUUGAGUCACAAAUUAGCAAAAGUGAAUGUUUUUUCACCUUUGAAAAACCAUGUGCUGUUAAGAGAUAAGUACCCACUCUUCUGUUCUGACCUGUGAAAAGAUUAAAUGUCUUUUUCAAAACAAAAUUAUAUUGCCAGUAUUAUAACACAACUAUCUUUCAAACAAAGGGCAAAAUACUAAAGAAUAAUUGCUACUUCCUCCAGCAGCAUUUUAUCUAUUUCAAAAACUAUUGUACUAAUUAGAAAUUAUCCAAUAGUUACGAAACUCUAGACUGACACAGCAGUUGCUUAUGAAAAGGAAAUGCUUUGACUCUGAUGUAUUAGCUCAUCUAGAUACAUCACUGUAACUUUCUACGUGCUCUCUGGUGAGGCAGGCUUUCUCUUGUUCAUGACAUUUCUCUGCAAUGAAUUCUCUGUGGAGUGAAGGGCAUGAAAUGAACCAUUUCUUAUCAAGUAAGUGUAUCAAUUUACAAACCCACUCUGCAGAUCACCUUUGAGUUCAGUUGUAAUCAUAUUUUAUUUAUUAAAGCUCUUCAUUCAAGUAAGGAGUAUGUUGAAAUUUUGCCAAUAUCUUAAUAACACCCAGCA
RNAcentral lists this long non-coding RNA (1097 nucleotides) under Heterocephalus glaber (naked mole-rat). Its description in RNAcentral is "lncRNA (ENSHGLG00000032859.1)". Lineage: Eukaryota; Metazoa; Chordata; Mammalia; Rodentia; Bathyergidae. The record is from RNAcentral.